This 394-nucleotide long non-coding RNA is filed under the name Nicotiana tabacum (common tobacco). Its description in RNAcentral is "long non-coding RNA (NTAB_LNC004758)". Lineage: Eukaryota; Viridiplantae; Streptophyta; Magnoliopsida; Solanales; Solanaceae. The record is from RNAcentral.
UGAAUUAUUCGCCAGGAAGUUCAUAAAAUUGAUGAAAGAGGAUAUGCAUGCUCAGUUCAGGGUUGGAGCCCUAAUAUCGACUAGCUGGGGAAAGGUUCAGUUUAGAGUUGAAACUCUAAUACUAACCAACUGGGGAAAAGUUCAGUUUAGGGUUUAAAACCCUAAUGCUGAUUAAAGGAAAAAGUUCAGUUCAGGGUUUAAAACCCUAAUGCUGACUAAAGGAAAGAGUUCAGUUUAGGGUUUAAAACCCUAAUGCUGACAUGCAUGGAAAAAGCUCAGUUUAGGGUUUUAAAACCCUAAUGCUGGCUGAAAGGAAAAAAAAUUCAGUUUAGGGUUUAAAACCCUAAUGUUGACUGCAUGGAAGAGCUCAGUUUAAGGUUUAAAACCCUAAUGC